Small nuclear RNA from Gracilinanus agilis (Agile Gracile Mouse Opossum), 108 nucleotides. Lineage: Eukaryota; Metazoa; Chordata; Mammalia; Didelphimorphia; Didelphidae. The record is from RefSeq and is a predicted model, not a curated record.
AUGCUCACCUUGGCAGCACACAUACUAAAACUGGAAUGAUAACAGAGAAGAUUAGCAUGGCCCCUGCACAAGGAUGACAUGCAAAUUUGUGAAGAAAGAAAGAUUCUU